This 465-nucleotide ribosomal RNA is filed under the name Vreelandella stevensii. Its description in RNAcentral is "partial 16S ribosomal RNA". It matches the Rfam family "Bacterial small subunit ribosomal RNA", at positions 338 to 795 of the family's 1533-position model. Lineage: Bacteria; Pseudomonadati; Pseudomonadota; Gammaproteobacteria; Oceanospirillales; Halomonadaceae. The record is from RNAcentral.
CCUACGGGAGGCAGCAGUGGGGAAUAUUGGACAAUGGGGGCAACCCUGAUCCAGCCAUGCCGCGUGUGUGAAGAAGGCCCUCGGGUUGUAAAGCACUUUCAGUGAGGAAGAACGCCUGGUGGUUAAUACCCAUCAGGAAAGACAUCACUCACAGAAGAAGCACCGGCUAACUCCGUGCCAGCAGCCGCGGUAAUACGGAGGGUGCGAGCGGUAAUCGGAAUUACUGGGCGUAAAGCGCGCGUAGGUGGCUUGAUAAGCCGGUUGUGAAAGCCCCGGGCUCAACCUGGGAACGGCAUCCGGAACUGUCAAGCUAGAGUGCAGGAGAGGAAGGUAGAAUUCCCGGUGUAGCGGUGAAAUGCGUAGAGAUCGGGAGGAAUACCAGUGGCGAAGGCGGCCUUCUGGACUGACACUGACACUGAGGUGCGAAAGCGUGGGUAGCAAACAGGAUUAGAUACCCGUGUAGUC